GCAGCAGCCUGGGUUGUCGCGCGGCCUCUAUGAGGAGUGAGGAAAGUCCGGACACCACAGGACGCGUAACCGGGUAACGCCCGGGCAUCUCAAUGCAGAUGACGGAAAGUGCCGCAGAAAAUAUACCGCCUCUCGGGGUAAGGGUGAAAAGGCGAGGUAAGAGCUCACCGCAUAGCUGGCAACAGCAAUGGCAGGGUAAACCCUUGCGGGUGCAAUUCCAAGUAGGCAGUCGCACAGGCUGGUCCGGCCUUGGCUGCGGGUAGGAAGCAAAGAAUCAGUCAGCGAUGAUUGAUCAAGAUAAAUGACAACUCUCGACAGAAUCCGGCUUACAGGGCUGCUGCUUUC
This 345-nucleotide RNase P RNA is filed under the name Leptospiraceae bacterium. RNAcentral describes it as "RNase P RNA component class A". It matches the Rfam family "Bacterial RNase P class A". From Rfam's summary of the family: Ribonuclease P (RNase P) is a ubiquitous endoribonuclease, found in archaea, bacteria and eukarya as well as chloroplasts and mitochondria. Its best characterised activity is the generation of mature 5'-ends of tRNAs by cleaving the 5'-leader elements of precursor-tRNAs. Lineage: Bacteria; Pseudomonadati; Spirochaetota; Leptospiria; Leptospirales; Leptospiraceae. The record is from RNAcentral.